CAAGAGGGCAAUGUAGAGGUGCCGCAGGGGUUUCUUGCGCAAGAAACCCCUGCGGCACCUCUACAUUGCCCUCUUG
Molecule: microRNA precursor, 76 nt
Organism: Pelodiscus sinensis (Chinese soft-shelled turtle)
Lineage: Eukaryota; Metazoa; Chordata; Testudines; Trionychidae
Rfam family: mir-252 microRNA precursor family
Source: Rfam